CACGGGGGGAGCAAGCGUUGUUCGGAAUCACUGGGCGUAAAGGGCGUGUAGGCGGUCAUGUAAGUGGAAUGUGAAAUCCCUCGGCUUACCCGAGGACCGGCAUCCCAAACUGCAUGGCUUGAGUACGGGAGAGGAUAGGGGAAUUCCUGGUGUAGCGGUGAAAUGCGUAGAUAUCAGGAGGAACACCGGUGGCGAAGGCGCCUAUCUGGCCCGAUACUGACGCUGAGGCGCGAAAGCUAGGGGAGCAAACGGG
This 253-nucleotide ribosomal RNA is filed under the name uncultured bacterium. RNAcentral describes it as "partial 16S ribosomal RNA". It matches the Rfam family "Bacterial small subunit ribosomal RNA", at positions 524 to 776 of the family's 1533-position model. The record is from RNAcentral.